AUGAACGCUGGCGGCGUGCCUAAUACCUGCAAGUCGAGCGAACAGACGAGGAGCUUGCUCCUCUGACGUUAGCGGCGGACGGGUGAGUAACACGUGGAUAACCUACCUAUAAGACUGGGAUAACUUCGGGAAACCGGAGCUAAUACCGGAUAAUAUAUUGAACCGCAUGGUUCAAUAGUGAAAGACGGUUUUGCUGUCACUUAUAGAUGGAUCCGCGCCGCAUUAGCUAGUUGGGAAGGUAACGGCUUACCAAGGCAACGAUGCGUAGCCGACCUGAGAGGGUGAUCGGCCACACUGGAACUGAGACACGGUCCAGACUCCUACGGGAGGCAGCAGUAGGGAAUCUUCCGCAAUGGGCGAAAGCCUGACGGAGCAACGCCGCGUGAGUGAUGAAGGUCUUCGGAUCGUAAAACUCUGUUAUUAGGGAAGAACAAAUGUGUAAGUAACUAUGCACGUCUUGACGGUACCUAAUCAGAAAGCCACGGCUAACUACGUG
RNAcentral lists this ribosomal RNA (496 nucleotides) under uncultured bacterium. RNAcentral describes it as "partial 16S ribosomal RNA". It matches the Rfam family "Bacterial small subunit ribosomal RNA", at positions 29 to 507 of the family's 1533-position model. The record is from RNAcentral.